RNAcentral lists this ribosomal RNA (920 nucleotides) under uncultured bacterium. RNAcentral's name for it is "bacterial SSU rRNA". It matches the Rfam family "Bacterial small subunit ribosomal RNA", at positions 33 to 944 of the family's 1533-position model. The record is from RNAcentral.
ACGCUGGCGGCAGGCUUAACACAUGCAAGUCGAACGGUAACAGGAGAAAGCUUGCUUUCUUGCUGACGAGUGGCGGACGGGUGAGUAAUGCUUGGGAAUCUGGCUUAUGGAGGGGGAUAACGACGGGAAACUGUCGCUAAUACCGCGUAGAGUCGAGAGACGAAAGUGCGGGACCGCAAGGCCGCAUGCCAUAGGAUGAGCCCAAGUGGGAUUAGGUAGUUGGUGGGGUAAUAGCCUACCAAGCCGACGAUCUCUAGCUGGUCUGAGAGGAUGACCAGCCACACCGGGACUGAGACACGGCCCGGACUCCUACGGGAGGCAGCAGUGGGGAAUAUUGCGCAAUGGGGGCAACCCUGACGCAGCCAUGCCGCGUGAAUGAAGAAGGCCUUCGGGUUGUAAAGUUCUUUCGGUAUUGAGGAAGGUUGUUGUGUUAAUAGCACGACAAAUUGACGUUAAAUACAGAAGAAGCACCGGCUAACUCCGUGCCAGCAGCCGCGGUAAUACGGAGGGUGCGAGCGUUAAUCGGAAUAACUGGGCGUAAAGGGCACGCAGGCGGACUUUUAAGUGAGGUGUGAAAUCCCCGGGCUUAACCUGGGAAUUGCAUUUCAGACUGGGAGUCUAGAGUACUUUAGGGAGGGGUAGAAUUCCACGUGUAGCGGUGAAAUGCGUAGAGAUGUGGAGGAAUACCGAAGGCGAAGGCAGCCCCUUGGGAAUGUACUGACGCUCAUGUGCGAAAGCGUGGGGAGCAAACAGGAUUAGAUACCCUGGUAGUCCACGCUGUAAACGCUGUCGAUUUGGGGAUUGGGCUUUAAGCUUGGUGCCCGAAGCUAACGUGAUAAAUCGACCGCCUGGGGAGUACGGCCGCAAGGUUAAAACUCAAAUGAAUUGACGGGGGCCCGCACAAGCGGUGGAGCAUGUGG